This 1703-nucleotide long non-coding RNA is filed under the name Fragaria vesca (wild strawberry). RNAcentral's name for it is "long non-coding RNA (FVES_LNC000659)". The record is from RNAcentral. Lineage: Eukaryota; Viridiplantae; Streptophyta; Magnoliopsida; Rosales; Rosaceae.
CCAACUUAAACCUGUGUACAUAAAGAAUCAAAACAAAUUCACCUAGGAAGACCCUUUUUAAUUCUUAGUAUUCUGAUAAAAAGGCUCUCUCUCGUUUUUCCGGAGCUGAGAAGUCGAAACCCUAGGUUUUGUGGAGGAGCAGCGGCGCCUUAAAGAUAUGCUUUCUUUGGAUGCCUCUGGCGUCGGUCUUCGGGGGGCUAGUGUUGUUAUGGCCUUCUCGCGGCGUCUUUUCUUACGAGAUCAACGUACGUUGCUGCUCUUAGUUUUCUGAGUUGCGGCUCGUUAGCGAAGGCGUUGGCCUUGUCCUCGGUGGUGUGCUGUUGGUUUUUCAGCUGUGGAUUACAUGCGUCAGUGAUUCGAAGGCUUUACGACGGUGCCUAGGUUGUAGAAUAGCUGAGAAAGUAGAUCAGAUCCUUCUUAAUCUGACAGAGACAGUAAACUUGGUUGUUGAUUGUCAAGCCGGAGGUAGAAGAGAAUCCUUACCCAGUCGAGUCAUGGCGGAGGACAGAGGACGACCACCAGAAGGAGACAAGGAGGCGUUUGCGGUAGUUUGGAAGGAUUCCAGCGACGGCUGGGGGGAGGCAACCUCGAAGAACCCUAUUUGGCAUCUAACGUACAGGUGAGCCUAUGUGGGUGGGUGAGACUAGGCCGGGGCCUUGGCUUCGGCCCACCUCUCCUUCCUUUGCUUGGGCUUUUUCUGUUGGGUUCUUUUGGGUUUUUUGCUGGUUCACUUCCAACGUGAUUCUAAUUCAAGGCUAUUCACUGCUAUGAUGGGUGGAGGGGUACACCAUUGGGUCACUAGGCCCUAAAUCUAUCAUGGUAGAUGCGGAGAGUUAGGAUUACGUUUAGGAAUAAAUUUUGUUAGUUUUAGAUAUUGUCUGCCUUUUUGGACUUAGUUUUUGUAUUUCCCUUCCAAGCAUUAGUUUUAGCUAAAUAACGAGCUUGCUCUUAAGCUUGUAUCAGAGCUUGCUCCUGUAUGACGUAACAAUAGUUGGUCGAACGGCUUCAAGGCCAAUGCAAUAUAUCCAUACUUUUUUUAAAAAAAAAAAAAAAACCUGUGUACGUAUUAAGUGUUAUGACAAAAAUAUUUGUACUCUUGAGGCUCUUUUUGACCUUUUUAGUUUUAUAGAUAUGAAUGCUACGAUCGCAGUCAUGCAGACAUUGAAAGCAGACCCAAGGGAGGAAAAGAAAAUAAUAUAUGCUCAUAUGAUUGAAGGAAUUGAGUAACGAAUAUUUAUUCCAAGAUGUUUUCUGUAGCAUAGAUAAAGGAGUUUACAUACGUCAAAGACAGAAUUUAACUGUCUUGUUUCAUGAAUUUAAAAUCCAAGUUAUGAUUUUUGUCCAAUGACUUCGGAGGAUUCAGGAUAUGCCAUGUGUUUGCUGUCUGAUAUUUUAGAUCUUGAUCUUCUAUGCUCGAUCACAACCUCACACAGACAUGAAGCUUGAGAAAUACUAUUCCUCAUUGCCUUUAUCUUCUUCUUCUUCAUUGGGUCGACAGUGAGUUCUGACUUCUGAUAUGAGGCUGAUCGACUUUAGUUUUGACUUUUGAAUCCCAGAUUCACUUCAGUUCAACUACUUCACUCACUUGGGCGGGAAGUGAGAUCAAGGAACGUGUGCUCAUUGCAGGGGAAUGUGAUACCGCCCAUGGGAUGAUCAUAUCCAUAUUCUUCUUCAGCUUGGCUUAACAAAUCUUGGAAUGAAGG